This 367-nucleotide ribosomal RNA is filed under the name uncultured bacterium. RNAcentral describes it as "bacterial SSU rRNA". It matches the Rfam family "Bacterial small subunit ribosomal RNA", at positions 28 to 396 of the family's 1533-position model. The record is from RNAcentral.
GACGAACGCUGGCGGCGUGCUUAACACAUGCAAGCCGAGCGGUAAGGCCCUUUCGGGGGUACACGAGCGGCGAACGGGUGAGUAACACGUGGGUGACCUGCCCUCAGCUCUGGGAUAAGCCUGGGAAACCGGGUCUAAUACUGGAUAUGACUCCAUGACGCAUGUUGUGGGGUGGAAAGCCUUGUGCGGCUGAGGAUGGGCCCGCGGCCUAUCAGCUUGUUGGUGGGGUGAUGGCCUACCAAGGCGACGACGGGUAGCCGGCCUGAGAGGGCGACCGGCCACACUGGGACUGAGACAUGGCCCAGACUCCUACGGGAGGCAGCAGUGGGGAAUCUUGCGCAAUGGGCGAAAGCCUGACGCAGCGACG